RNAcentral lists this ribosomal RNA (490 nucleotides) under uncultured bacterium. Its description in RNAcentral is "partial 16S ribosomal RNA". It matches the Rfam family "Bacterial small subunit ribosomal RNA", at positions 30 to 507 of the family's 1533-position model. The record is from RNAcentral.
AUUGAACGCUGGCGGCAUGCCUUACACAUGCCAGUCGAACGGCAGCAUGAUCUAGCUUGCUAGAUUGAUGGCGAGUGGCGAACGGGUGAGUAAUACAUCGGAACGUGCCCUGUAGUGGGGGAUAACUAGUCGAAAGAUUAGCUAAUACCGCAUACGACCUGAGGGUGAAAGUGGGGGACCGCAAGGCCUCAUGCUAUAGGAGCGGCCGAUGUCUGAUUAGCUAGUUGGUGGGGUAAAGGCCCACCAAGGCGACGAUCAGUAGCUGGUCUGAGAGGACGAUCAGCCACACUGGGACUGAGACACGGCCCAGACUCCUACGGGAGGCAGCAGUGGGGAAUUUUGGACAAUGGGGGCAACCCUGAUCCAGCAAUGCCGCGUGUGUGAAGAAGGCCUUCGGGUUGUAAAGCACUUUUGUCCGGAAAGAAAUCGCACUUACUAAUAUUAGGUGUGGAUGACGGUACCGGAAGAAUAAGGACCGGCUAACUACGUG